UAAAGAAUUUUAAAUCUCAUGGUUUUAGGUGGAAUUUGAGAGGAUUUUACAAUAAACUAGAUUUUAACUCGCGGUAUACCGCGGGACGAUUUAGUUUUUUAAAAGUAAUAUAUAUUAAAACUUGCAAAUUUUAUUUUUAUAAAAUAUUUAUAUUUUACAGUUUAUAAUUGUUAUUAAGUAACAGUAUACCACGAAUCCAUGAGAUAAUUGUUAAAAAACUGAAGUUUUAACCCCUAUUAAAACAGCAUAUUAAUAAUAUUUUUAAAUUUUAUAAAUAUUGAUUCAAAUACAUCCAUCAUAUAACUCAAUUCCAAAAUAGAACUCGUUCUGUAAUUUUUUUACCGUCCCGUGAUUUUUUUUAAAAAUAGUAAUUUUUAAAAUUUAAGAAUAAUUUUUUAUAUAGAAAAGUUUUGCAAAUUGUAUCAUUCUCUAAUACAUUUAUAUCUAUAGUUUAAUUUUAUAUAUAGUAACAUUAUACAUACCACAUAACAUUUUUGGUUUUAUAUAAUCUUUUCUAAAUUAGGAUGAUUUGAUAUGUUCAAUAUUAGUGGUCUUAAU
This 558-nucleotide small RNA is filed under the name Arabidopsis thaliana (thale cress). Its description in RNAcentral is "ATSL170310". Lineage: Eukaryota; Viridiplantae; Streptophyta; Magnoliopsida; Brassicales; Brassicaceae. The record is from RNAcentral.